UACGGAGGGGGCUAGCGUUGUUCGGAAUUACUGGGCGUAAAGCGCACGUAGGCGGGCUGGAAAGUCAGGGGUGAAAUCCCGGAGCUCAACCCCGGAACUGCCUUAGAAACUUCCAGGCUUGAGGUCGGAAGAGGGGAGUGGAAUUCCGAGUGUAGAGGUGAAAUUCGUAGAUAUUGGGAAGAACACCGGUGGCGAAGGCGGCGCACUGGUCCGGUACUGACGCUGAGGCGCGAAAGCGUGGGGAGCAAACAGG
RNAcentral lists this ribosomal RNA (253 nucleotides) under uncultured bacterium. RNAcentral describes it as "partial 16S ribosomal RNA". It matches the Rfam family "Bacterial small subunit ribosomal RNA", at positions 524 to 776 of the family's 1533-position model. The record is from RNAcentral.